Molecule: ribosomal RNA, 465 nt
Filed under: uncultured bacterium
Lineage: Bacteria
Description: partial 16S ribosomal RNA
Rfam family: Bacterial small subunit ribosomal RNA
Source: RNAcentral
CCUACGGGAGGCAGCAGUAGGGAAUCUUCCACAAUGCUCGAAAGCCUGACGCAGCAACGCCGCGUGGAUGAAGAAGGCCUUCGGAUCGUAAAACCCUUUUGUUAGAGAAGAAAAUGCGUGAGAGUAACUGUUCACGUUUCGACGGUAUCUGACUACAAAGCCACGGCUAACUACGUGCCAGCAGCCGCGGUAAUACGUAGGGGGCAAGCGUUAUCCGGAGUGACUGGGCGUAAAGGGAACGUAGGCGGUGUUGUAAGUCUGUUGUGAAAGACUUGGGCUGAACCGUAGUAAGGCUAGUGAUACUGGGAGACUUGAGUGUAGAAGAGGAGAGUGGAAGUCCUUGUGUAGCGGUGAAAUGCGUAGAUAUAAGGAGGAAUACCGGUGGCGAAGGCGGCAAUCUGGUCUGUAACUGACGCUGAGGUGCGAAAGCGUGGGUAGCAAACAGGAUUAGAUACCCUAGUAGUC